AGAUUGAACGCUGGCGGCAUGCUUUACACAUGCAAGUCGAACGGCAGCGCGGGGCAACCUGGCGGCGAGUGGCGAACGGGUGAGUAAUAUAUCGGAACGUACCCAAGAGUGGGGGAUAACGUAGCGAAAGUUACGCUAAUACCGCAUACGAUCUAAGGAUGAAAGCAGGGGGACCGCAAGGCCUUGUGCUCCUGGAGCGGCCGAUAUCUGAUUAGCUAGUUGGUAGGUAAAGGCUACCAAGGCUACGAUCAGUAGCUGGUCUGAGAGGACAACCAGCCACACUGGAACUGAGACACGGUCCAGACUCCUACGGGAGGCAGCAGUGGGGAAUUUUGGACAAUGGGCGCAAGCCUGAUCCAGCAAUGCCGCGUGAGUGAAGAAGGCCUUGGUUAGUAAGCUCUUUGUCAGGAAGAAACGGUGGGAGCUAAUAUCUCCCACUAAUGUACGGUACCUAGAAGAAUAAGACACCGGACUAACCUACGUGACCAG
Molecule: ribosomal RNA, 489 nt
Filed under: uncultured soil bacterium
Lineage: Bacteria
Description: bacterial SSU rRNA
Rfam family: Bacterial small subunit ribosomal RNA
Source: RNAcentral